GGUGUCUCAGUGGUAGAGCGCUUGCCUUGCAUGCAUGAGACCCUGGGUUCAAUUCCUCAGCACCA
RNAcentral lists this transfer RNA (65 nucleotides) under Dipodomys ordii (Ord's kangaroo rat). It matches the Rfam family "tRNA". From Rfam's summary of the family: Transfer RNA (tRNA) molecules are approximately 80 nucleotides in length. The record is from Rfam by way of RNAcentral. Lineage: Eukaryota; Metazoa; Chordata; Mammalia; Rodentia; Heteromyidae.